GAGUUUGAUCAUGGCUCAGAUUGAACGCUGGCGGUAGGCUUAACACAUGCAAGUCGUGCGAGAAAGUACCUUCGGAUAUGAGUAGAGCGGCGGACGGGUGAGUAACGCGUAGGAAUCUACCUAGUAGAAGGGGAUAGCCCGGGGAAACUCGGAUUAAUACCGUAUACCUCCUUCGGGAGAAAGAAGGCCUCUCUUUGAAGCUUUCGCUAUUAGAUGAGCCUGCGUAAGAUUAGCUUGUUGGUGAGGCAAAGGCUCACCAAGGCGACGAUCUUUAGCGGGUCUGAGAGGACGAUCCGCCACAUUGGGACUGAGACACGGCCCAGACUCCUACGGGAGGCAGCAGUGGGGAAUAUUGGACAAUGGGCGCAAGCCUGAUCCAGCCAUACCGCGUGUGUGAAGAAGGCCCUAGGGUUGUAAAGCACUUUAAGUUGGGAAGAAAAGUUAUUGGUUAAUACCCAAUAACCGUGACAUUACCAUCAGAAUAAGGACCGGCUAAUUCCGUGCCAGCAGCCGCGGUAAUACGGAAGGUCCAAGCGUUAAUCGGAAUUACUGGGCGUAAAGCGCGCGUAGGUGGUUUAUUAAGUUGGAUGUGAAAUCCCCGGGCUCAACCUGGGAACUGCAUCCAAAACUGAUUCACUAGAGUACGAUAGAGGGAGGUAGAAUUCACAGUGUAGCGGUGGAAUGCGUAGAUAUUGUGAAGAAUACCAAUGGCGAAGGCAGCCUCCUGGAUCUGUACUGACACUGAGGUGCGAAAGCGUGGGUAGCGAACAGGAUUAGAUACCCUGGUAGUCCACGCCGUAAACGAUGUCAACUAGCUGUUGGAAAACUAUGUUUUUCAGUGGCGCAGCUAACGUAGUAAGUUGACCGCCUGGGGAGUACGGCCGCAAGGCUAAAACUCAAAUGAAUUGACGGGGACCCGCACAAGCGGUGGAGCAUGUGGUUUAAUUCGAUGCAACGCGAAAAACCUUACCUAUACUUGACAUACUUGGAAUGCUUUGUAAUGAAGCAGUGCCUUCGGGAGCCAAGAUACAGGUGCUGCAUGGCUGUCGUCAGCUCGUGUCGUGAGAUGUUCCGUUAAGUCGGAUAACGAGCGCAACCCUUACCCUUAUUUGCCAGCGAUUCGGUCGGGAACUAUAAGGGGACUGCCGGUGAUAAACCGGAGGAAGAUGAGGACGACGUCAAGUCAUCAUGGCCCUUACGUAUAGGGCUACACACGUGCUACAAUGGAGAAUACAGACGGACGCUAAGCCGCGAGGUGGUGCUAAUCCUAGAAAAUUCUUCGUAGUCCGGAUUGGAGUCUGCAACUCGACUCCAUGAAGUCGGAAUCGCUAGUAAUCGCGAAUCAGCAUGUCGCGGUGAAUACGUUCUCGGGUCUUGUACACACCGCCCGUCAUACCAUGGAAGUGGAUUGCACCAGAAGUAGAUAGUCUAACCUUCGGGAGGGCGUUUACCACGGUGUGCUUCAUGACUGGGGUAAAGUCGUAACAAGGUAACC
Molecule: ribosomal RNA, 1495 nt
Filed under: uncultured marine bacterium
Lineage: Bacteria
Description: bacterial SSU rRNA
Rfam family: Bacterial small subunit ribosomal RNA
Source: RNAcentral